AAAUAAGAAACAAUAAAUUGUUUUUAGUUUCGACCUAAAAUUAUGAUUCUGCGGGGAGUCCUUAUUUA
RNAcentral lists this transfer RNA (68 nucleotides) under Pselaphinae sp. 10 EF-2015. RNAcentral's name for it is "tRNA-Arg". The record is from RNAcentral. Lineage: Eukaryota; Metazoa; Arthropoda; Insecta; Coleoptera; Staphylinidae.